This 72-nucleotide transfer RNA is filed under the name Algisphaera agarilytica. It matches the Rfam family "tRNA". Rfam says of the family: Transfer RNA (tRNA) molecules are approximately 80 nucleotides in length. Their secondary structure includes four short double-helical elements and three loops (D, anti-codon, and T loops). Further hydrogen bonds mediate the characteristic L-shaped molecular structure. tRNAs have two regions of fundamental functional importance: the anti-codon, which is responsible for specific mRNA codon recognition, and the 3' end, to which the tRNAs corresponding amino acid is attached (by aminoacyl-tRNA synthetases). tRNAs cope with the degeneracy of the genetic code in two manners: having more than one tRNA (with a specific anti-codon) for a particular amino acid; and 'wobble' base-pairing, i.e. permitting non-standard base-pairing at the 3rd anti-codon position. Lineage: Bacteria; Pseudomonadati; Planctomycetota; Phycisphaerae; Phycisphaerales; Phycisphaeraceae. RNAcentral also lists the same sequence under 1 other name. The record is from Rfam by way of RNAcentral.
GGCGAUGUAGCUCAGCGGUAGAGCUAGGGAUUCAUAAGCCCUCGGUCACUGGUUCGAAUCCAGUCAUCGCCA